AAGAGCCCAGUGCUGCUCAGUGUGUGUGCGGGCCCUUCAGAGCCACUCCCACACCAACAACACAAUGAGCCUGAUGUCCCUGCAGCUGUUCCUGCUGGCCCUGGGGCUCCUGGUUCGGGGUUCUUCAGGAGAAAUCAGCCUGACUCAGACUCCUAAAGCUGCAGCUGUGGACAAAGGAGCCUCUGUUACUCUCAGGUGUCAGGCUAGUACAGGUAUUUCUAAUUGUCUGCACUGGUAUCUCCAGAAAGGCACUGAACCUCCAAAGCUCCUCAUAUAUGACACAACAAAUCGUCACUCUGGAAUCUCCAGUCGUUUCAGUGGAAGUGGUUCAGGAUCUGAUUAUUCUCUGACUAUCACUGGAUUUGAGGCUGAAGAUGUAAGAGUUUAUUACUGUCAGCAGCGUUACAGCUUCCCGUUCACACAGUGAAAAAGACUCACUUAGUUUGACACAGAUGCUGCAGAUACUUAACACUCAUAUUCAUUAUCUGAUCAUUUUCUUUAAGUUUUAAUUGUGUUUGAUAAAAUAAAAUUAAUAACAUUAAUACAUUAA
Boleophthalmus pectinirostris (great blue-spotted mudskipper) is the source of this 550-nucleotide non-coding RNA. Lineage: Eukaryota; Metazoa; Chordata; Actinopteri; Gobiiformes; Gobiidae. The record is from the annotation of a RefSeq genome assembly.